This 23-nucleotide non-coding RNA is filed under the name Cricetulus griseus (Chinese hamster). Lineage: Eukaryota; Metazoa; Chordata; Mammalia; Rodentia; Cricetidae. The record is from RNAcentral.
AUGAGGACGACAAUGGAAGGCAU